Molecule: long non-coding RNA, 343 nt
Filed under: Manacus vitellinus (golden-collared manakin)
Lineage: Eukaryota; Metazoa; Chordata; Aves; Passeriformes; Pipridae
Description: lncRNA (ENSMVIG00005005416.1)
Source: RNAcentral
CUGGAGCAUCUCCUGGGAUACCUGAGCUCCUGACCCACUUCCCAUUCCCUUGCAGGGUCUGACUGGAAGCCCCGGGAGCCCCGGUCCCGACGGCAAGACUGGCCCCCCUGGUCCCGCUGGUCAAGACGGUCGCCCUGGCCCCCCCGGCCCCCCCGGUGCCAGAGGUCAAGCCGGUGUGAUGGGAUUCCCUGGUCCCAAAGGUGCUGCGGGUGAGCCCGGCAAACCUGGUGAGAGAGGCGCUCCCGGUCCCCCCGGUGCCGUGGUGAGUAUUUGCUGGAGCACAAACGGUCUGGUGGGGGCUCGGCAGGGAGGGUCACCCCUGUGUGAGGUGACAGGGGGCAUC